GCUCCGCCCCCAACCCGGCUCGUCCCACACUGCACGCUUUCUUCAUGGAGGACGGCGUCACUAACAGGCUGCAGGCUGGGGUCAGAGUUCAGCUCUGGUUGGGUCCUAAGGUCAGGACGCCACUGUGCUGUCCACUAUACGCCUGCUGAAGAUGAAGGCUCAUGAAUGCUGCAUGGGAGCGCGGCGGCGGCGGCGGCGUGGAGGGAAACAACGGGGAAGAUUUGAUCUGAGACGGAGGAUAAAGAGAGUCUGUGAGGAAACAAAGAGUCGCUUCAUGACAACGAGGGUCAAACGGCGUUUUAUCCAAGUUUCCUCCUCCACCCUCAGGAGGCGAACAUGUUUGGGGGGAGGAGGACUUCUCCCAUCAGGGGAAAACAGCAGAGCGCUGAACGUAAACUAACAGACGGGAGUGUUGCUAUGGUAACGCAGGGCCAGAGGCGCAUGGACGACACGUGACCGGAGCUGCAGAGACGGAUCCAGAAGAAUAUUCCAGAACUGAAGGACAAAUUCUCUGAAACUUCACCACUUUGGCUGAUUUACUGCCUGGCUGCAUGUUCACAAUUUAAAAAUAAUAUUUAACAUUUUGGCCUCUUCAUGCUAAGAUGAAACCACCACAAAAUGAUUUAUUUGAACGCAGGGUUAAAACUGUAAAUCUUGUCCCAGAUUUAAAGCAACACUUUCCCACUGUGGCUUCAUUUCUGUCAGGUCAGAGAUCUCAGACUUAUUUCUGCAGCCUCACUUCAACUUGUUGAGGUUUCUCUUUGAGAUCAUUUUUUAAAAAGAUCUUUAAACAUAUUUAAUCUGAGGAAUGCGGAUAUUGUUCAUGUUUUGGCCUGAAACUCAGAAAUCAUCAUCCUGUCCAAAAUAUCUCCAAACAAAACAUAAAGAUAAUCAAGCAAACAAAAUACUGUUAACAACAACAACCUGCACUGCAAACUGCUUUAACACACAGAUUUGGAAUCUCACCGUAUUUUACACUUUGGAAAACAAAACUAAGCAAAACAGAGGAUAAAAAUAUUAAAAUCAACCUACAGCAGAGAGCUGACACCAGGACAGGAGAUGAAUAAUAUCUGGAGGUCACGACUGAAGAGCCCUGACAGAGGAAAUAUUCGUGUCUCAAUAAAAAUCUUCAGCAGGAUAUAUUUGUUUUAUAUUACUAACAUAUCAGCGCAUAUUAAAAUGAACAUAAUGCUCAUGUAUUUUUCUGCGUUUGGUCUGAAGUUUUUCCUGACAGCGUUUGGUUUCUCAGCUUGUUGAACUGAAAUGGUUCUGAGUUAUAAUCAGCAGCUUUGUGUGAAUAAAGAGCAGAAACAUGCAUGA
Long non-coding RNA from Xiphophorus couchianus (Monterrey platyfish), 1320 nucleotides. RefSeq lists it as uncharacterized. The record is from RefSeq and is a predicted model, not a curated record. The transcript is spliced from 2 exons. Lineage: Eukaryota; Metazoa; Chordata; Actinopteri; Cyprinodontiformes; Poeciliidae.